GCGCUCCUUCGGCAGCACAUAUACUGAAACUGGAGCGAUACGGAGAGGAGUAGCAUGGCUCCUGAGGAAGGAUGACGUGCUAACUUGUAAAGCAUUGCACGUUUAA
Small nuclear RNA from Acomys russatus (golden spiny mouse), 106 nucleotides. NCBI's taxonomy places the organism in Eukaryota, Metazoa, Chordata, Mammalia, Rodentia, Muridae. The record is from RefSeq and is a predicted model, not a curated record.